Long non-coding RNA from Physella acuta, 322 nucleotides. RefSeq lists it as uncharacterized. The record is from RefSeq and is a predicted model, not a curated record. NCBI's taxonomy places the organism in Eukaryota, Metazoa, Mollusca, Gastropoda, Physidae.
AAAGAUACAAGACAUAGCACGCGGGGUGAAAGGUCAACAGAUCGUCAACAUUGUGACAAGAUGAAUUCUCUUGUAGUCUACAUCAUAUACUUUGCCAUCUGGCUCUUCUUCAUUACCCAAGGUUUUGCUGUACCGUGUAUAUGGAAGUGCUGGGGUACAGGGAAAGACAGGCACUGUGAACUAGUUUGUCUCAACUUUAAAGGAACAAUAUAAAGCAUUUCCUCAAUGGUCUAAUGUCACCUACAAGUCUAGCAAGUCUGACUGAAGUGAUUCAGAUUUUACUCCGAUUGUAAAAGAAAAAAAAUAGUGAUGUUUUUGAUCA